AAAAAUCCAAAAUUUAUAUUCAUUUUCAUAUUACGUCCAUUUUCGGCCAUACUGGCAAACGGCCAAAAGCGACGUUCUUUUUAAGAGGACAGGUUCGAAACUUUGAGAAGAGCGAUGGUAGGAGCAAUAUUACACCAACAGCAUUCAUCACUGGAGAUUUGGCCACCUGGUGGUCGCUAAACAAACUUCUCAUUAACAUAACAAUACAAUAGACAGAGCAGAAGCUGCCGACAACCUGGUAGAUCUAUUCCCUCCCUCCGGUGCCGGCCCCACUCAAUCUCCCUUGCUACUGCAGGUACUGCACUGGUCCACCAAAGUAAGACUUGACAUCUUACAACCCGCGUCAUCUUACAACUACAAGAUACCAGCUUCCGUUCAAGACUAGUACCAGUCACCUUGAGCUCGUCUCCAGCAAACCACUCUGCCCGCUUCUGAACGCUUGCGAUUACAGUGAUUAUCACUGAGGCAGAGGUUGAUAUGCAGGUAAUUAUUGUCGAAUAGAUUGUGAUGAGUGACAGGUGAAUGGGGAGAGGGGGGGUCGCAGUAUCUAGUCGUGUGCUGUGAGUGGCUUGUCGCGCCUGUGCCCGCCUGCCCUCUGGUCUCCACGAGUGCCCUGCAGUGCCUGGCAGUGUCUAGUGGCCGCUACCUGUGGUGGGCGCUUGGCAGGAUUGACGGGGAGUCGGGGAGGCGGGGCGCACAUGAUGAAGCAUUCGCUGUAUCCGGUGCUGGGAGCCAACAGGUGUUGUGUAGUAUCGCUUGGUGAUCCGCUCAGCAAGGGCGAGGAGUCUGGAGAACAUCUGUGUAUUUCAGCUGGGAAUCGGUGUUUACAAUAACGCAGAAACCUUAAGAUGAAAAGCCCUGCGAGCAAGAGAAAUGCCGAGUGUUAAAAAUGUUCGUCCGGAAGCCAAGGUGGUCUUAAAGUGAACUUUGGGGAGGAGAAGCCCAUGUACGGUACUCCGGAGAUGAUGCCAGGAGAGGCAGUGAUGGAGAUGGUACACAUUAUGUGCGUCUUAACAUUUUAGACACGUGUUGCGUUGUCUGUGAAAGUCUGUUUGCCCUUACUGACAUGUAGCAAGUGCAUUUUAGAUUGACACAGACUCGUUAUAUGAACCAGGGAUGUGGUCAGUAAAGUAGGUGAACCAGGAUGUCUUCCUCUAGGCAGAAAUACGGCUUUUGACUGAAGACUUGAAGAACAUUCACAUGUUUCUGACCCCACAAUAUUGUCAGACUGUUGGAGGACGGUUGUGACCCUUGGUGAGGCCGUCAGAGCUGCUGCAGGAAGGGCACGACAACGACGAGACCACUUACCAGGAGUUACUCUCAGUUGCGUGCAUCACACCCGCGUGCGUUACGCCAACAGGAGUGAAUAACUCAGGUAUUGUGAGGCGUCUU
Long non-coding RNA from Procambarus clarkii (red swamp crayfish), 1392 nucleotides. RefSeq lists it as uncharacterized. The record is from RefSeq and is a predicted model, not a curated record. Lineage: Eukaryota; Metazoa; Arthropoda; Malacostraca; Decapoda; Cambaridae.